CCAUCCUAGCAAAGAUGAACAUAAGUUAAUUAUUCUCAGUGUCAAAGAAGGAAUUUUCUCCCUUGUGAUUCGAUGAGUUAUUUGUACAACAUAUGAUAGAACUAGUAAGUGGCAGAUUGCAGUUGCUCAUGGUAGUCGUAUGGAAUACCAAUUUAGGUGUUGGAAAUUUAGUAAUGCUAGCUAAGAAACAAUUGUCUAGUGCUGAGAAAAGAAAAAAAAAGAUGAAAAGUAGCAGAUCAAUUUAUUCCAUCACAAAAGGGCUUUGUUAGCCUUGGAACGCUCAUGUUGAUCAUCAAGAACUGUUGUAACUUGGCUUCGAGCGCAAUCCUCUGGAACGAAGUACACUGUCUACAAGCGUGGCACCACCGAUUCUCUCCUUUUGGUAGGUGUCUUGUCUAUGAAGACGAUUUGAUCAUCGACGGACAACACAGAGAAGGUGUCAUGGCGCUCAAUGAGCAGAUGCAGGAGCAUGAGCGACCUUCGGUUCGGCGGCCACCUCAAAGCUGCAGGCUUGAGCUUGAGCUUGAUCGCGAGCUGGGUGCCUCGGGGCGGGAUUUGGAUCGAGAUGGGAUUAUUGGACGUUUGUCCACACGGAAAUGCGUGAUAAGUUUGGUGCAGGUGCAUUUAUAUGGUGGUAUUACAAACAGAAGAAGACGAUGCUUCUCCUGCAAGAUUGAAGCCAAAUCUCUACUCCGCGCCGCCAGGCCACCGCUCUUAGCGGCGCCAGAGCGCCGCGCGGUCUCGCUGCCCUCCCCCGCCGGCGGACACCCUCCGCGCCGCCCCGGGCGCCUCCAUCCCGACCGCGGCCGCUCGGAGCGGAGUCCGGCCGCCUACCUCCAGGACGUCCAUUCCACCCGCCGGCCGCCGCGAGUCCGCCUCGCCAUCCGCAUCUUGGACCUCCUGUACUCGAUCCAUGGCACCCUUCCCCAAUCAGCAGCUACGACCUCGCCUCUGCAGUACACGUCCCCUCCUAGGUGCCUGGCGGAGAGGGAGGUGGUCCGAGACGAAGCCGGGACGCUGUAGAGGAGAGGGGAGGUCAGGUGCACUGCCGCUCGCCCCAAGUCACAGCUACCCUCCGCUGCUCGACGCCGGACGAGUGGUGCAGUUCGGCUACGGUGCAUGAUGCAAGUCGAUUUCAACCAGCACCAGGUUAGGUAUUUGAAUGUGCAUUCUUGAGAAACAAAAAGGGAUGCAGUGCUGCAAGGAGUUUGUGACGUGCUGUGUUGUAAAUGUGCUAUGAGAUUCCCCCCCUGCAAGCAAGCUCAAAUCAAAUAGCCAUGAAGCAGUUUUCAACUAAUUAGAAACCAGAUCGCAACAGCUAGAUAGCAUGGUUCUGAAUUCUGAUCCACGUACAGGAUCUUGUCAGACUGCAUUCCAAUUAAGCAGAGGAAGCAUAUAUGCUAUUUGAUCAUUUCUAGCUGCCUUUCUCUACUUCCGUGUCUUAUCCUUGGACUAUCACAAACUUUAAGGAGCUCAGCCAAUAUGCUUACUGACUUGCUUGUAGUACAGAAUCUGGGAUCUGCGAUGGCAGAUGUUGUUAUAGAUGCAAUGGUUGCGGAAGCAGUUCGAUCAGCAGGGUUUGCUCAUGUCGGUCCUGCGGUAAUUACCCUACUGGACAUUGUUUUGCUGUCACAGUUACACGUUCAGUAUGGAAUUGCUGAUAAGUACAUGGUGCUGUGGGGUUCUGCUUUGGCUGAUGCAAUCGACCAGUUCAAGAUGAGUUCCUGAUCCUGUCAGGACAGCUUUACCUACCUGGAAUCGAGGGCACAAUGUUUGCUCUUUUCAUGUCAAUCAACAACCUGGGUUCAACACUAGGUUCAUUCCUGGGGUCUGCUCUGGCAUCAGCUUUGAACCUCACCACAGGACACUUUGACAAUCUUGCUCUGGGUUUGGGGGUACAGAUGAUUUGUACUCUCCUACCAAUUGGGUUCCUAUCUUUGAUUCCAAAGGAAGUCACAGGACUAACAUUGGUUGAGGGUAAUGUUCUGCGCUUUUUUCUACUUAAUGAAACACAUGCCGUUGCAUGUUAUCGAAAAGGGGGUAAUGUUCUGCGCUUGAACCUCAAAUUCCUGACUCAAGCCACAUAUACUUACAGCUCUGUACCAAAGUGAGAGGAAUAUACACAUUAUAGGAAGGAAAUUAAAGCUAGUUGGAAGAUAGACAGUUUUGUUGACAGAUGUAUACAGCUCUGUUCCAGGAUGAGAGGAAAGAAGAGUGCAUAGAUUUUUAGGCAAAGAUGAAAGUUACUUGAUGUUGACAGAUGUUGAUGCUACUUGACAUGUGUAGAAAUGAGAACAUGAAAGUGAUGUUACUAAUGAAUACAUCUGUGCAC
Molecule: long non-coding RNA, 2332 nt
Organism: Sorghum bicolor (sorghum)
Lineage: Eukaryota; Viridiplantae; Streptophyta; Magnoliopsida; Poales; Poaceae
Exons: 5
Source: RefSeq, a predicted model, not a curated record